Molecule: long non-coding RNA, 206 nt
Filed under: Gossypium barbadense (sea-island cotton)
Lineage: Eukaryota; Viridiplantae; Streptophyta; Magnoliopsida; Malvales; Malvaceae
Description: long non-coding RNA (GBAR_LNC006385)
Source: RNAcentral
ACAAGUGACAUGUCACUAGGAAUUAAGAAGUUUGAACUCGUUAAGUGGUCUGGGUUCGUGAUUUAUGUGGCAUCCGAGCUCGUCGAGUGGUCUGAGUUCAUAAUGGAUGCGAGCAUCCGAGCUCAUUGAGUGGUCUGAGUUCAUAAUGGAUGCGAUACAUGUGAUUGAGUUCCGGGCAAUGGUCUUGUGUGUCCUACCGGUGGCUA